Non-coding RNA from Meleagris gallopavo (turkey), 1147 nucleotides. The record is from RefSeq and is a predicted model, not a curated record. NCBI's taxonomy places the organism in Eukaryota, Metazoa, Chordata, Aves, Galliformes, Phasianidae.
AUUUUUAAACAGGAUACUCAGUAGCUGCUGGGGAAUUUACUGGAGAUUCUGAAGAAGAGCUGGUUGCUGGAGUCCCAAGGGGUGCGCAGAACUUUGGCUACGUCUCAAUCAUUAAUUCUUCAGAUUUGACCUUAAUCCAGAAUUUCACCGGUGAACAGAUGGCGUCUUAUUUUGGGUACACUGUUGCAGUAUCUGAUGUUAACAAUGAUGGGUAGGUUAUCAAAUACAUUCAGCUCCACUGAACAUUCACAGAAGCAGUGCCUCGAAUUUAUUAACAAACACAGGUUUUCAGAUGCUUCAUACCUCAAAUGCUUCUCUUGACUUCUUACUUUUCUGCUUGUUUUGCAUCGGUUUAUCUUUGUGCAAUUACAGUGGCACAGCUGUUUGCUAGAUUGGGCGAGUUUAUCUUCCUGAAUAUGUAUUAAAUGCAGUACAGUAGAGCAGGAAUGUCUGAGGUCUCAGAAAACAUCCAGGUAGAGGUACAGUGAACCAAAAAAGGCAAGCUGCUGAUGGUAGAUGCAAGUCACAAUUUCAUUCUUCCGUACUUAAAAGCAAUUAAGUCUUUUCACAUGCAGAUCAUUCCAAGCCUCACUUCCCAGUUUUAAGAGCUUUUCAGUAUCACUCAUUUCAGCACCUGCUGGUUCACAAUCCUUUUUCAUCAUCUAGGGGACCAAAGAAGUGUCAGUGGCCCAUCUCUGUUAGGAUGGCCAUUGUGCUUGUCUCGGAGAAUGCUGUGUAACUGUCAACACUGGGAUUUCAGGUCCCAUUCAACAAAUCACUUGCUGACUUUGAAUUUGUGUAAAAUCAUAUUAAAUGCUUUGGAAAGUCGGGAAUUUAGUAAGCAAAUGUUGAUGCAAGCUUUCCAGGAAGGAAGUAAAAUCAGUGAGGCUCACAGCUUUGGAAGUCUGCACAGAGGUGAGCCAGGAUUAUAUUUAGAGCUGUGUGUACUCUUGUAUAUUCCAGAAUGUCUCAGCUGCACCACUCUCAUGUUCUUGCAAUUACUUAUUAGUGGCUUAAAAACAGUGCAUUAAAUAGAUUUUUUUCAUGUUACUGCUGUAUCAUUGCUUCCCAUCAGGAACUACUAAACCCUUAAAAAGUUAGGGAUACAAGUAAAGAGAAAAGUAAUAAGGUGAUCAAAUUGUAGCCA